Long non-coding RNA from Hypanus sabinus (Atlantic stingray), 1477 nucleotides. RefSeq lists it as uncharacterized. The record is from RefSeq and is a predicted model, not a curated record. Lineage: Eukaryota; Metazoa; Chordata; Chondrichthyes; Myliobatiformes; Dasyatidae. The transcript has 3 exons.
CCGCGGACGGAAGGAGAUUGUUCACACCGGGUUGGGGAACCCGCGGAUGCCCGAACAAAGUGCCUUGGACCGGUUCGGAUCUUGCGCAGUGCCCUGCGUGUGUGGUUGAAACAAAAGAGAAUUCCAAACAGGUGCUGAAAUGGUGUAAGUCAGAGAGAGACCUGGUAGCACUGAUGUUCUGUUUAUUGGCUGCUCCAGUGAUCCUGGUUCAAUCCUGGUCUACAGUGCACAUUCUCCUUGGAACCACGUGGGAUUCCCCUAGGUACUCCAGUUUCUUCAUCAUCCCGAAGACCAAGCAAGAGAUCAAGUGUACCUGGUAACAGUGUCAUUGCAGAGAACAACAGCCGGCUGCAUCAGACCUGACCACAGCUGAUGGAAGCAGACCCACAGAAGACGCCAAGCCAGAGGUCAUCAACAGAGCAUGACAGUGAGCUGUUGUAGUAUAACAGUACUCUGUAAUGAAGGCUGGUAGCUGAAAGCAGAUUACUAGUUGUACAGCACAGAAUAGGGAAAUAUUGGGGAAAAUAGAUGGGAAGGGAUCCGAGCUACAGCAGAGAUAUCGGAUCCACAACAUCAAUGGCAUGGCCGAUUGAGAAAGGGACAAAAUUGCACACGGCAUCUAAAGGCAGUCACUCCCAGCCCAUGAGCUGGGCCGGGCCAGGGAUCAACUGGGUAGCCUGGAAGGGGGUGCCACUGGAGUGAAGUCCUUGCGGUCAUUCAAAUAGAGACAGCCCCAACCUCUCCUGUACAUCAAUGAGAGGGCUUUUGAGCCUGAUACAUUUACCUUGCCAGUGCCCUUGGAAAGAGAGUAAUCACUGGUAGCCACCACAGAUUUUAGCCAUGAAAAAGUGAAGGGGUGAAGAUAAAGAAAGUGAUUAUUUUUGUCCAGGAGGGCUUGUUAGGCCAUAUUCUGGACUUAGGGUACAUAGCAAAGUAUUAACUUCAACAACCAAUCUUUAGACCUGUAGAUUAAAUUUUAAAUGCAGCCUAGACAAUAGGUUCCUAGAGCUGUGAACAACAGUUAAUUGAAAAACCAGACAAUGCUGAUUAACAUUCAUCUUGGAUGUGUGGAGUGUGGGUGCAAAGACUGAGGUGUAAAGGUUGUGUGUAAUUCAAAGGAAGCAUUGCAGAUACAUUGUAAAUGUAGAAUUCUCCUUUGAUCUUCAGCAUUUAAAAUGUUGCGUAAUGCUGUGUUGAACAAGCCUCUUCCCCGAAAGUAUCUCAAUGCGACGCCUGCUGCUUGUUUUUGUUGAAUAAAACACUGACUUUAGUCACACUGUGUACCCACUCUGUGCUUAUGUGUGUCUGUGUCUGUGACAGGUACUGUGUACCCACUCCUUGUGUGUGUGAUGUACUGUGUACACACUAUGUGUGGUGUACUAAGUACCCAUUCCAUGUGUGUACUGUAUUGUGCAUCCACUAAAUGUGUACAUACAUUGUAUUGUAUACCCAUCCCUCUGUGUCCAUGUUGUGAACA